RNAcentral lists this ribosomal RNA (566 nucleotides) under uncultured Methanobrevibacter sp. RNAcentral's name for it is "bacterial SSU rRNA". It matches the Rfam family "Archaeal small subunit ribosomal RNA", at positions 153 to 719 of the family's 1478-position model. The record is from RNAcentral. Lineage: Archaea; Methanobacteriati; Methanobacteriota; Methanobacteria; Methanobacteriales; Methanobacteriaceae.
UGGAUAGAUGAUUUUUCCUGCAAUGGUAUUUUGUCUAAAUGUUUUUUCGCCUAAGGAUGGGUCUGCGGCCGAUUAGGUAGUUGGUUAGGUAAUGGCUUACCAAGCCGUUUAUCGGUACGGGUUGUGAGAGCAAGAGCCCGGAGAUGGAACCUGAGACGAGGUUCCAGGCCCUACGGGGCGCAGCAGGCGCGAAACCUCCGCAAUGUGAGAAAUCGCGACGGGGGGACCCCAAGUGCCAUUCUUAACGGGAUGGCUUUUCUUGAGUGUAAAAAGCUCUUGGAAUAAGAGCUGGGCAAGACCGGUGCCAGCCGCCGCGGUAACACCGGCAGCUCUAGUGGUAGCCAUUUUUAUUGGGCCUAAAGCGUUCGUAGCCGGUUUAAUAAGUCUCUGGUGAAAUCCUACAGCUUAACUGUGGGAAUUGCUGGAGAUACUAUUAGACUUGAGGUCGGGAGAGGUUAGAGGUACUCCCAGGGUAGGGGUGAAAUCCUGUAAUCCUGGGAGGACCACCUGUGGCGAAGGCGUCUAACUGGAACGAACCUGACGGUGGGGGACGAAAGCUAGGGGCG